UCGAAACCUGCACAGCAGAACGACCCGCGAACACGUUUAACCACCGGGCGAGGGACGGAGGGGGCGCAAGCUCCUCGAGUCUCGAACCCUUGGACGGGGAUCGCCCUCUGCGGCGGCCUCCGUUAGAACAACGACCCCCCGGCGCGGAAUGCGCCAAGGAAAUCAAACUGAGCGGAUCGCGUCCCCCCCGUUCGCGGGCGGCGGAGGCGUCUCUUCUGAAACACAAACGACUCUCGGCAACGGAUAUCUCGGCUCUCGCAUCGAUGAAGAACGUAGCGAAAUGCGAUACUUGGUGUGAAUUGCAGAAUCCCGUGAACCAUCGAGUUUUUGAACGCAAGUUGCGCCCGAAGCCAUUAGGCCGAGGGCACGCCUGCCUGGGCGUCACGCAUCGCGUCGCCCCCCAAACCUCGCACUUCCGCAAGGGAGUCCCGGCAGGGGGCGGAUAUUGGUCUCCCGUGACUCAUCGCGCGGCUGGCCUAAAAGCGAGUCACCGACGGCGAACGUCGCGACAAGUGCUGGUCGUAAAAAGCCUUCUGUUCGUGUCGUGUUUGCGAACGUCGUCGGUUGAAGCUCCUGUGACCCUGUUGCGCCGUCCUCGACGCGCGCUCCGA
This 611-nucleotide ribosomal RNA is filed under the name Hydrocotyle maritima. RNAcentral describes it as "eukaryotic LSU rRNA". The stretch from base 229 to 384 matches the Rfam family "5.8S ribosomal RNA". Lineage: Eukaryota; Viridiplantae; Streptophyta; Magnoliopsida; Apiales; Araliaceae. RNAcentral also lists the same sequence under 2 other names. The record is from RNAcentral.